This 450-nucleotide ribosomal RNA is filed under the name uncultured bacterium. Its description in RNAcentral is "partial 16S ribosomal RNA". It matches the Rfam family "Bacterial small subunit ribosomal RNA", at positions 338 to 795 of the family's 1533-position model. The record is from RNAcentral.
CCUACGGGUGGCUGCAGUGAGGAAUAUUGGACAAUGGAUGGAAAUCUGAUCCAGCCAUGCCGCGUGCAGGAAGACUGCCCUAUGGGUUGUAAACUGCUUUUGUAUGGGAGCAAUAAGCCCUUCGUGAAGGGUGAUGCGAGUACCAUACGAAUAAGCAUCGGCUAACUCCGUGCCAGCAGCCGCGGUAAUACGGAGGAUGCAAGAGUUAUCCGGAGUAAUUGGGUUUAAGGGGUGCGUAUAAGGUUGCGUAGAAAGUUUUCUGCUUAACAGGAAAAAUGCCGUUGAUACUGUCUGGCUAGAAUAUGGUUGCUGUGAGUGGAAUGUGUGGUGUAGCGGUGAAAUGCUUAGAUAUCACACAGAAUAUCGAUUGCGAAGGCAGCUCACAAAGCCAUUAUUGACGCUGAGGCACGAAAGUGUGGGGAUCAAACAGGAUUAGAUACCCUUGUAGUC